RNAcentral lists this non-coding RNA (574 nucleotides) under Pongo abelii (Sumatran orangutan). The record is from RNAcentral. Lineage: Eukaryota; Metazoa; Chordata; Mammalia; Primates; Hominidae.
AAACCGACAGUCUCUUCCCGGUAGGGAGAGGGGAUGGCGGAAUUACUCCUCUAAUGUCAAGGUUUUCUAAUCACAGAAUUACUGGAGCGUCAAGAAGCGCCUGCAUGCUUGGAAGGGCUUCCAGGCAGAUGAACACACCUCAGCACCGGGUGGCAGUUUCCCAGGGUGCAACCCGGACCGGCUCUGGGUCACACUGACAAGGAUAACAAGGAUUAACAAUUUCCAGAGACAGCCCGUACAUAGAGGGAAAGUUUACUGAAAAAAAUGAAGAGGGGUCAGGGCAAGGCGAGGAGCAAGAAGCAUCCCCAAGGAAACAGAGAAGACCAGUACAACUGUACCUCUUUGCCAGCUGCACCAUCCGUACCAGUCUCCUGGGGUGGGAGUGUACAGCUCAGAGACUGCCACACUGCAAGACGAAGGGGCUGGAUGGACGGAAGUAAGAGGCGGAACCCUGCACACCCUCGGCCUCAGCCCCACUGAGUCUCCAAUGGGGCCACGCUUCUGAGUGCACCUCCCCCUGUCAUCUGUAAUGUGAGGGGGAACCAGGCUUGAUAUGGCAUUCCCAAUCCAGGGC